AUUGAUGGAGUACAGUCUUAGUUCGCGACAUUGUGUCGAAAUGACUGUAUAACCCGCUUAGUGCGGG
This 67-nucleotide small RNA is filed under the name Psychrobacillus sp. OK032. RNAcentral's name for it is "Bacillaceae-1 RNA". It matches the Rfam family "Bacillaceae-1 RNA". Lineage: Bacteria; Bacillati; Bacillota; Bacilli; Caryophanales; Bacillaceae. The record is from RNAcentral.